AGGAACCUGCCUUGGAGAGGGGAAUAACACUCCGAAAGGAGUGCUAAUACCGCAUAAUGCAGUUGGGUCGCAUGGCUCUGACUGUCAAAGAUUUAUCGCUCUGAGAUGGCCUCGCGUCUGAUUAGCUAGUUGGUGAGGUAAUGGCCCACCAAGGCGACGAUCGGUAGCCGGACUGAGAGGUUGAACGGCCACAUUGGGACUGAGACACGGCCCAG
Molecule: ribosomal RNA, 215 nt
Filed under: uncultured bacterium
Lineage: Bacteria
Description: partial 16S ribosomal RNA
Rfam family: Bacterial small subunit ribosomal RNA
Source: RNAcentral